RNAcentral lists this ribosomal RNA (17 nucleotides) under Trichuris sp. Senegal. RNAcentral describes it as "partial 28S ribosomal RNA". The record is from RNAcentral. Lineage: Eukaryota; Metazoa; Nematoda; Enoplea; Trichinellida; Trichuridae.
UGACCUCAGAAUCAGAC